RNAcentral lists this ribosomal RNA (378 nucleotides) under uncultured eukaryote. Its description in RNAcentral is "partial 18S ribosomal RNA". It matches the Rfam family "Eukaryotic small subunit ribosomal RNA", at positions 592 to 975 of the family's 1831-position model. The record is from RNAcentral.
CAAUAGCGUAUAUUUAAGUUGUUGCAGUUAAAAAGCUCGUAGUUGGAUUUCGGAUGGGACUUGCCGGUCCGUCGUUUCGAUGUGCACUGGCCAGUCCUAUCUUGUUGUCGGGGACUAGCUCCUGGGCUUCACUGUCCGGGACUAGGAGCUGACGAGGUUACUUUGAGUAAAUUAGAGUGUUCAAAGCAAGCCUACGCUCUGAAUACAUUAGCAUGGAAUAACACGAUAGGACUCUGGCUUAUCUUGUUGGUCUGUGAGACCAGAGUAAUGAUUAAGAGGGACAGUCGGGGGCAUUCGUAUUUCAUUGUCAGAGGUGAAAUUCUUGGAUUUAUGAAAGACGAACGUCUGCGAAAGCAUUUGUCAAGGAUGUUUNCAUUA